GGGGCCGUAGCCCAAUUGGCAGAGGCCGGCGGUUUAGGUCCGUCGUGUUGUGGGUUCGAGUCCCACCGGCCCCA
RNAcentral lists this transfer RNA (74 nucleotides) under Actinocorallia herbida. It matches the Rfam family "tRNA". From Rfam's summary of the family: Transfer RNA (tRNA) molecules are approximately 80 nucleotides in length. Their secondary structure includes four short double-helical elements and three loops (D, anti-codon, and T loops). Lineage: Bacteria; Bacillati; Actinomycetota; Actinomycetes; Streptosporangiales; Thermomonosporaceae. RNAcentral also lists the same sequence under 2 other names. The record is from Rfam by way of RNAcentral.